Molecule: transfer RNA, 89 nt
Filed under: Stegodyphus mimosarum
Lineage: Eukaryota; Metazoa; Arthropoda; Arachnida; Araneae; Eresidae
Description: tRNA-Tyr for anticodon GUA
Rfam family: tRNA
About the family: Transfer RNA (tRNA) molecules are approximately 80 nucleotides in length. Their secondary structure includes four short double-helical elements and three loops (D, anti-codon, and T loops).
Source: Rfam by way of RNAcentral
CCGUCGAUAGCUCAGUUGGCAAAGCGGUGGACUGUAGUGGUGUUGAGACAGAAAUCCAUAGGUCGCUGGUUCGACUCCGGCUCGACGGA